RNAcentral lists this long non-coding RNA (874 nucleotides) under Mytilus galloprovincialis (Mediterranean mussel). The record is from RNAcentral. Lineage: Eukaryota; Metazoa; Mollusca; Bivalvia; Mytilida; Mytilidae.
GGGAAUGAAACGUGAAAUAUAUACGGAAAUUAUCGAUAAUAUGGGGAUUUCGUGUAGAAAGAGUGAAGAGUAUGAAAAAUAAUAUUUUCAAAUUGUAUUUAUUAAAUAAUGAUGCAUAAUAAACAUUGCAAAAUUAAAUGCACAAUGAUGUAAAAUGAAACUGUACAGUCCCUGUAAAAGAAAAACAUGAUAGAAAUUAAUACUAUAAUAAAAUUUAAAUGAAAAUUUAAAGAAUAACAUUUUAAUAAUUUAAAAGUAUACCCAUAUGAUAUUUUAAAAUAAUCUUUUAGUAAAAUGUAAAACAGAAACUGAAAUUUUAUAAUAUAUAAAACUACUAAAAUUAAAGCUUGAGUUUAUAAAAAUUAAAGAAACAAGUAAUAAAUCAAUUUAAACCAAUUAUAAAAGAUUCAUGUAACUAGUUAAGAUUUCGAACAAAUUUUACAUAUCCAAUAUGAUUGUUUUGGCACAGAUUUUAACCCUGCACAUUUCAAAUGUUGCCAGUCUAAACAGCAAUCACAUGCCAACAAGUCCUGAUCGUGUAGGUUUUUUUUUUACACUUUAUACAUAUCCAGUCGCAUGUUUCCCUUCUUUCCGUGAUCUUAACUUUUAGUUGUUUCCAAGCUUCAGUGGUAGAAUAUUUUUUAAUGCGCUGGAGGUUUACGUUUUCAUACGCCUAUAUAUAUAUGUGUAUAUUUAUAAAAAUUCUGAGUAGUUUUAAUCAAUUUAUUCACUAAUUGCAACAAAUUCCGUAUAUAUUUCACGUUUCAUUCCCGAUCCGACGGCAUUUUAUUAUAAAGCCGGAUGUGGGUACGUGCAGCCUAGAAAGGCAAUUUGACUAUUCGUACCCACAUGCGGGUACGCGCAGACACUGCCU